Molecule: unclassified non-coding RNA, 206 nt
Filed under: soil metagenome
Description: partial contains 5.8S ribosomal RNA, internal transcribed spacer 2, and large subunit ribosomal RNA
Source: RNAcentral
AACAUCGCGCACCUGCGGGAACCUGCGGAAGGAUCAUUACCGAGUUUACAACUCCCAAACCCCUGUGAACAUACCUAUACGUUGCCUCGGCGGAUCAGCCCGCGCCCUGUAAAAAGGGACGGCCCGCCCGAGGACCCUAAACUCUGUUUUUAGUGGAACUUCUGAGUAAAACAAACAAAUAAAUCAAAACUUUUAACAACGGAUCU